RNAcentral lists this ribosomal RNA (395 nucleotides) under uncultured bacterium. RNAcentral's name for it is "partial 16S ribosomal RNA". It matches the Rfam family "Bacterial small subunit ribosomal RNA", at positions 523 to 918 of the family's 1533-position model. The record is from RNAcentral.
AUACGUAGGGUGCAAGCGUUAAUCGGAAUUACUGGGCGUAAAGCGUGCGCAGGCGGUUUUGUAAGACAGAGGUGAAAUCCCCGGGCUCAACCUGGGAACUGCCAUUGUGACUGCAAGGCUGGAGUGCGGCAGAGGGGGAUGGAAUUCCGCGUGUAGCAGUGAAAUGCGUAGAUAUGCGGAGGAACACCGAUGGCGAAGGCAAUCCCCUGGGCCUGCACUGACGCUCAUGCACGAAAGCGUGGGGAGCAAACAGGAUUAGAUACCCUGGUAGUCCACGCCCUAAACGAUGUCAACUGGUUGUUGGGGAUUUAUUUUCUCAGUAACGAAGCUAACGCGUGAAGUUGACCGCCUGGGGAGUACGGCCGCAAGGUUAAAACUCAAAUGAAUUGGCGGGG